AUGUGAUGCCUCUGAUGAAGCCUGUGUUAGUAGAGACAUCUGAGAGUGUAGAUGAAUACCAAUGACUCUCAUGGAAAAAG
Small nucleolar RNA from Callithrix jacchus (white-tufted-ear marmoset), 80 nucleotides. Lineage: Eukaryota; Metazoa; Chordata; Mammalia; Primates; Cebidae. The record is from Ensembl.